This 497-nucleotide ribosomal RNA is filed under the name uncultured bacterium. Its description in RNAcentral is "partial 16S ribosomal RNA". It matches the Rfam family "Bacterial small subunit ribosomal RNA", at positions 28 to 507 of the family's 1533-position model. The record is from RNAcentral.
GAUGAACGCUGGCGGCGUGCCUAAUACAUGCAAGUCGAGCGAACAGAUGAGGAGCUUGCUCCUCUGACGUUAGCGGCGGACGGGUGAGUAACACGUGGAUAACCUACCUAUAAGACUGGGAUAACUUCGGGAAACCGGAGCUAAUACCGGAUAAUAUAUUGAACCGCAUGGUUCAAUAGUGAAAGACGGUUUUGCUGUCACUUAUAGAUGGAUCCGCGCCGCAUUAGCUAGUUGGUAAGGUAACGGCUUACCAAGGCAACGAUGCGUAGCCGACCUGAGAGGGUGAUCGGCCACACUGGGACUGAGACACGGUCCAGACUCCUACGGGAGGCAGCAGUAGGGAAUCUUCCGCAACGGGCGAAAGCCUGACGGAGCAACGCCGCGUGAGUGAUGAAGGUCUUCGGAUCGUAAAACUCUGUUAUUAGGGAAGAACAAAUGUGUAAGUAACUAUGCACGUCUUGACGGUACCUAAUCAGAAAGCCACGGCUAACUACGUG